RNAcentral lists this ribosomal RNA (595 nucleotides) under uncultured Lachnospiraceae bacterium. RNAcentral describes it as "bacterial SSU rRNA". It matches the Rfam family "Bacterial small subunit ribosomal RNA", at positions 137 to 751 of the family's 1533-position model. Lineage: Bacteria; Bacillati; Bacillota; Clostridia; Lachnospirales; Lachnospiraceae. The record is from RNAcentral.
AGGGGGAUAACAGUUAGAAAUGACUGCUAAUACCGCAUAAGCGCACAGGACCGCAUGGUGUAGUGUGAAAACUCCGGUGGUAUGAGAUGGACCCGCGUCUGAUUAGGUAGUUGGUGGGGUAAAGGCCUACCAAGCCGACGAUCAGUAGCCGACCUGAGAGGGUGACCGGCCACAUUGGGACUGAGACACGGCCCAAACUCCUACGGGAGGCAGCAGUGGGGAAUAUUGCACAAUGGGGGAAACCCUGAUGCAGCGACGCCGCGUGAAGGAAGAAGUAUUUCGGUAUGUAAACUUCUAUCAGCAGGGAAGAAAAUGACGGUACCUGAGUAAGAAGCACCGGCUAAAUACGUGCCAGCAGCCGCGGUAAUACGUAUGGUGCAAGCGUUAUCCGGAUUUACUGGGUGUAAAGGGAGCGUAGACGGAUAGGCAAGUCUGGAGUGAAAACCCAGGGCUCAACCCUGGGACUGCUUUGGAAACUGCAGAUCUGGAGUGCCGGAGAGGUAAGCGGAAUUCCUAGUGUAGCGGUGAAAUGCGUAGAUAUUAGGAGGAACACCAGUGGCGAAGGCGGCUUACUGGACGGUGACUGACGUUGAGG